AGGACGAACGCUGGCGGCGUGCUUAAAACAUGCAAGUCGAACGGACUUCUCAUGAAGCUUGCGAUUGAGAAGUUAGUGGCGGACGGGUGAGUAACACGUGGGCAACCUGCCCCUGAGCCCGGGAUAACAGUUCGAAAGGACUGCUAAGACCGGAUAUACUUGCGGUGAAGCAUUUCACUGCAAGGAAAGGGAACGCUCAGGGAUGGGCCCGCGUCCCAUUAGCUAGUUGGUGAGGUAACGGCCCACCAAGGCGACGAUGGGUAGCCGGCCUGAGAGGGUGAACGGCCACACUGGGACUGAGACACGGCCCAGACUCCUACGGGAGGCAGCAGUUGGGAAUCUUCGGCAAUGGGCGCAAGCCUGACCGAGCAACGCCGCGUGAGUGAUGAAGGUUUUCGGAUUGUAAAGCUCUGUCUUCCGGGACGAUAAUGACGGUACCGGAGGAGGAAGCCACGGCUAACUACGUG
This 467-nucleotide ribosomal RNA is filed under the name uncultured bacterium. RNAcentral describes it as "bacterial SSU rRNA". It matches the Rfam family "Bacterial small subunit ribosomal RNA", at positions 26 to 507 of the family's 1533-position model. The record is from RNAcentral.